UUUGACCUCAAAUCAGGUAGGAUUACCCGCUGAACUUAAGCAUAUCAAUAAGC
This 53-nucleotide ribosomal RNA is filed under the name Hanseniaspora opuntiae. Its description in RNAcentral is "partial 26S ribosomal RNA". RNAcentral also lists the same sequence under 1 other name. The record is from RNAcentral. Lineage: Eukaryota; Fungi; Ascomycota; Saccharomycetes; Saccharomycodales; Saccharomycodaceae.